RNAcentral lists this ribosomal RNA (397 nucleotides) under uncultured bacterium. Its description in RNAcentral is "bacterial SSU rRNA". It matches the Rfam family "Bacterial small subunit ribosomal RNA", at positions 28 to 428 of the family's 1533-position model. The record is from RNAcentral.
GACGAACGCUGGCGGCGUGCUUAACACAUGCAAGUCGAGCGGUAAGGCCCUUUCGGGGGUACGACGAGCGGCGAACGGGUGAGUAACACGUGGGUGACCUGCCCUCAGCUCUGGGAUAAGCCUGGGAAACCGGGUCUAAUACUGGAUAUGACUCCAUGACGCAUGUUGUGGGGUGGAAAGCCUUGUGCGGCUGAGGAUGGGCCCGCGGCCUAUCAGCUUGUUGGUGGGGUGAGGCCUACCAAGGCGACGACGGGUAGCCGGCCUGAGAGGGCGACCGGCCACACUGGGACUGAGACACGGCCCAGACUCCUACGGGAGGCAGCAGUGGGGAAUCAUGCGCAAAUGGGCGAAAAGCCUGACGCAGCGACGCCGCGUGAGGGAUGACGGCCUGGUGUAA